AGAAUAUAAAUAAAUGUAUAGAUUUGAAAAGUGUUAUAGGGCAUUAAAGGGUUAUUCAAGGAAUAUAAACUUUUGUAAAAAAAAACAGAAGAAACUAUUAAUUAAUAAAGUUACUAAUUAUUAUAUAAUAAAAUAUAUAAUAUAAAACUUAAGGGAAACCGUAAAAAUAAACGUGAAGAACUGAAUCAUCUAAGUAUUCAUAGGAAAAGAAAUCAAAAGAGAUAUUAUAAGUAAUGGCGAAUGAAAGUAAUAAAGUCAAAAAAAUAAGUAUUAUCAAAUAACUAAAUGGUAAGAAAAAAGAUAUAACUAAAUCUAAGACUAAAUAUAAUUAAUAAGUAAAAAAAGUACUGAAAAGGAAAAUAUGAAAAUGGAUAAUUUAUAAGCAGUAUGAGAUAUAUAAAAAUAUUUAAUACGUACCUUUUGUAUAAUGGGCCAGCAAGUAAUUAAUAAUAGCAAAAUUAAUAUAUAAUUAAUUAUAUAUAAAUAGAAUAUAUAAUGAAUACAUAAUAAUGUAUUAGAAUAAUGUGAAUAAAGUUAUUAUUAAUUGGCCCGAAAAUAAAAGAUCUUAUUAUGACAAGAUAUCCAUUUUUUAUUAAAAAUAAAAAAUAUUGAUCGAAUGAGUUAAUGUUGCAAUAUUAUUCAAUUAGUUGUGAUAAGUAAGUGAAAGACUAACCUGUUUUAUAAAUAGCUGGUUCUCUGUGAAAUAUAUGUUAGUAUAGUGGUUAAUAAAAAUUAUUAUAUGGUAUAGCAAUUAAUAUAAUAUUAUGAGGGUCAGAUAUGAUUUAUCAUGUAUAUUUAAUCUCACAAUAAUAUAAUAAUAAAUAAAAAUUAAAAAUUAACUAAUCAGACUGUAUGCGAUAAGGUAUAUAGUCAAAAGGGAAACAGCCCUAAAUAAGAUUUAAAGUUCCAAAUAAUUAAUUAAGUGAAUAAAAUGUAUAUAAUAUCCUAAUCAAUUAGUAGGUGGGUUUGACAAUAACUAUCCUUUAAUGAACAUGUAACAAUGCACUAAUAAAUAAAUAAUAUUGAUAUUAUAUACAGAUAAUACACGGAUCUAAAAAUUAAUAACUGAUAAUCUAUAUAUUAAUAUUAAUUAAUAAUAUUAAUAUGGUAACAGAGCAUAUAAUAAAUAAAGUAUAAUAGUUAGAUAAAUUAUUAUAUAGAAUAUAAUUAUAUUGAGAAUGCUGGCAUGAGUAGCGAAAAAUAAGUAAUAUGUUUAACAUAUAAUAAACUUAUUCACAUAAUACAUAAGGUUUUACUAUAAAUUCGGUCCUUAAAUUAGUAUAUAAAUAUAAUAUAUAUGAUAGGUUAUAAACAUAAUUAAAUAUUAUAAUUAUUUAUAUUUAAAUAAUAAUUAUAAUGAACAUUAAUCAUAAAUUAAUUAAUUUAUGGUAUUAUUAAUAGAACAAGAAAUAUCUAAUUAUGAAAACCGUAAUUAAGACCGACACAGGUGUGUAUAGUAGAGAAUAUGAAAGUGAAUGAAUAAACUACGGUUAAGGAACUCGGCAAAAAUCACCCCCACGUUAGUCAAUAAAGGGAGUGUAAUAUAAAAAAAUAUUACACAUUAAGAAUAAAAUUAUACAACUGUUUACUAAAAACACAGCACUUUGCAGAUAUAAAAAUAUUAGUAUAAGGUGUGAAUCCUGCUCAAUGAUUUAAUAAAUAAAAUAUAUUUUUGUAAAAGGAAAUGUAUCUAAAGAUUAGUCAAAUAGCAGCCUUAUUUUGAGGGUUAUAAUGUAGCGAAAUUCCUUGUCUACUAAUUAUAGUCCUGCAUGAAUGGAGUAAUGAUAUAAUAACUGUCUCGACCGUAGGUUCAGCGAAAUUGUAUUAGCAGUGAAGAUACUGCUACACUUCAGUAAGACGGAAAGACCCUAUGCAGCUUUACUAUAUAUAAAUAAACUGUUAUAUAUUUAUAAUUAUUCAGCUUAUAAAGUAAUAAAUAAUAUAAAAUUGAGAAACUUUUUGAUGAUAAAUAUAUAACUUAUCUUUAAUUAAUAUAAUGUUAUUAUAACUAUAUUAUAUAUUAUUAUUAUUUUUAAUUAAUAAUAAUAAUAAAAGAGAAAGUUUUUAUUAGAUAGUUUUGAUGGGGCGUCAUUCUCAUAUAAAUAAACUGAGUAAGUCCUUUAUAUAAUAUAAAACAAUUAAUAUAUAUAUUAUAUAUAUUAAAUAUAUAUAUACAAAUUAAAUUAAUUUAAUUUGAAUAAAUAAUAGAUAAAAUAAGGUAUAGUUAAAUUGUAAGGAAAACAAUAAUAAAAAAUUUUAUAUAAAAAUAUAAUAGUAUAACUAUGCAUAAAUUACAAUCAUAAACAAAUGAAGUAAAUACGUAAGUAUGGUAUAAUGAACAUUUACUAUAAAUAGUGUUAGGUAAAGAUAACGGAUAAAAGUUACGCUAGGGAUAACAGGGUAAUAUAACGAAAUAGUACAUAUAGUAAGUUAUGUUUGCCACCUCGAUGUCGACUCACCUUUUCCUAUUGGUUGUAGCAGCUAAUAAGGGUUUGACUGUUCGUCAAUUAAAAAGGUACGCGAGUUGGGUUAAAUACGUCGUGAGACAGUAUGGUUCCUAUCUUCUGAAGUUAAUAUUAUAAAAAUAAGCCUAUAAAUUAGUACGAAAGGAUCAUUUAUAAUUAAUCAAUGGUAAACUAUUAAAUAAUUUAAAAUAUUUUAUUUUUAAAAUUAAUUAAUUAUUAAUACAUUAUUUUAUUAUUCAUUGAAUAAUAUUUUUAUUUAAAUUAUUUAAGUAGUAAAGCUAAAUUAAUAAAUUAUAAGUAUUGAAAGCAUAUAAAAUACGAAUUUGUCUUAUGGAUAUAAUAAAUAAAUAACCUUUUUAUAGGACCCGCCGCCUUUGGCGGCGGGUCUACGGAAGAGGUUAUAUAAUAGUAAUUAUAUACUAUGAUUAUAAAAUAGCUUUAUACACAUUAAUGUGUAUAAAUAAUAAAACAUAUUUUUAUAUGUUUAACUAUUUAACUAUUUUGCACUAUAAUUUCUAAUCU
RNAcentral lists this ribosomal RNA (2987 nucleotides) under Barnettozyma californica. RNAcentral's name for it is "large subunit ribosomal RNA". The stretch from base 135 to 2584 matches the Rfam family "Bacterial large subunit ribosomal RNA". The record is from RNAcentral. Lineage: Eukaryota; Fungi; Ascomycota; Saccharomycetes; Phaffomycetales; Phaffomycetaceae.